This 107-nucleotide small nuclear RNA is filed under the name Carlito syrichta (Philippine tarsier). Lineage: Eukaryota; Metazoa; Chordata; Mammalia; Primates; Tarsiidae. The record is from RNAcentral.
GUGCUCGCUUCAGCAGCAUAUAUACCAUAAUUGGAAUGAUUCACAGAAGAUUAGCAUGGGCUCUGUGCAAAGAUGGCACAUCAAUUUGUGAAGCAUUUCAUAAUUUU